Molecule: transfer RNA, 73 nt
Filed under: Loxodonta africana (African savanna elephant)
Lineage: Eukaryota; Metazoa; Chordata; Mammalia; Proboscidea; Elephantidae
Rfam family: tRNA
About the family: Transfer RNA (tRNA) molecules are approximately 80 nucleotides in length.
Source: Rfam by way of RNAcentral
GCCCCUGGUACAAAAUGGUUAAUGCAUUUGGCUACUAACCAAAAUGUUGGAGGUUCGAGUCCACUCAGAGGUG